CCUACGGGCGGCAGCAGUGGGGAAUAUUGGGCAAUGGGCGAAAGCCUGACCCAGCAACGCCGCGUGAAGGAAGAAGGCUUUCGGGUUGUAAACUUCUUUUGACAAGGAAGAGCAGAAGACGGUACCUGUCGAAUAAGCCACGGCUAACUACGUGCCAGCAGCCGCGGUAAUACGUAGGUGGCAAUCGUUGUCCGGAUUUACUGGGGGUAAAGGGCGUGUAGCCGGGCUGACAAGUCAGAUGUGAAAUCCGGGGGCUCAACCCCCGAACUGCAUUUGAAACUGUUGGUCUUGAGUAUCGGAGAGGCAGGCGGAAUUCCUAGUGUAGCGGUGAAAUGCGUAGAUAUUAGGAGGAACACCAGUGGCGAAGGCGGCCUGCUGGACGACAACUGACGGUGAGGCGCGAAAGCGUGGGGAGCAAACAGGAUUAGAUACCCCGGUAGUC
This 442-nucleotide ribosomal RNA is filed under the name uncultured bacterium. Its description in RNAcentral is "partial 16S ribosomal RNA". It matches the Rfam family "Bacterial small subunit ribosomal RNA", at positions 338 to 795 of the family's 1533-position model. The record is from RNAcentral.